AAAAGAAAUCCCAAACGGAGCUAUAUUGAAUUCUUCUUUGGUUCAUCACAUCACAUCUUCUCAUACAGCACUACCUACACCACCACUAGGAUCUAUAUCUUCAUCCACUGCUCCUUCUCGGGCAGCAACAACGGUUCAGUGAACCACAACAUAAUUUUCUCAUACUUGAGCAAGUGCUUGCAACAUCUUCAUCUGAUUUCAGUUGAACUUGAGGGAUUUUCUAGGAUCAUACUUGGACAAAAGAACAAUGCAAGCUCCGCAACCACCUGUAAUUGUUUCAGGCUGGGUUUGUUGUUUCAGAUCAAUUGAUUAUAUUGUUUAAUCAAUUUUUUAUUGCCUGUGUGUGUUGGGGUUCAAAGACUUUGUAGUUCUGGGCUAUUUGGAUUGGUGUAUUCAGUUAGGGAAUUUUUUUGAUGAUCCUGCUAUUGCUGCACAAACCAAGUACUACUCAAAGGGACACGCUUUAUUGGGUACUCUCUGUAAUGGAACAGAUAGUCGUCCGCUGUUUAUCAAUAACUGCAUAAAGAAUGCUUAUAUUAUUGUACUAGAUGAUAUAUGCGAUUUAAAGUCCAUCACCCGGAGUCCGUUUUCAUAUCUAAGUGGAACCAAGCUGAAAUGACGGAAACGCAAAAUAUAUUCAUCAGUUCAUAUGGACGGCGUAGAUUCUUCGUGUAUCCUUUUAGUAGUUCCAGAUGAUUGUUCUACCAAGUGUACAAAAUUCGUUUCAGGAGGGAUAUUAUGCAUGGCCGUCUCAGUCUAUUGCAUGUCUUACGUAUACGUAAAACCAGACCCAUGUUGAUGCAUGAAUAAAGAAGUCAAUGAACAAACUCUUUCUCCAUGAAAAAACAAGUUGCACGAGAAAAGCCAAACUUACCAUCGUAUCAGGCUGAACGUGAUGGAGCUUCAAAAUCAUGGAUGGAGGUUAUUUGACAACAAUCCUUUAAAAAAGUAGAAAGAGGACCAAGGUCUAGAAGAACUGGCCGUUGUCAAUUUAAUGUUUGGUUAGUGUUCUCUCCCACUCACUCCUUCGUUCAUCAUUUUGUUUGGUUCUUAAUUCAUUUUUUUUCCUGCUUACAUUUGAUGCAAGGAUUGUUGAAAUAAGUUUAUUUGUGUAAAAAAUCAAAGCCUUUUUAAGUUAAAAGCUAACUCAGUUUUGAAGGUUUUUUUUGUUUGAGUUCGAUCGAAAGGUCCAUUUUCGCUUGAUCAUAGGUGGAAACCGCACAUGCUGCAGCUCAGUGAGUUAUAUGUAUAACACAGCACGAUGGUGAGGACUGUAGACUGAUGUUUCAUUAGUUUCCAGUGUCAUCCCUGCGUUUAAAGAAGAGAUCAGCUGCUGCGGAGGACAACAAAACAGCUUUGCAUCCUGGAUAAAGGGUGCAGUUUGGAAGAAUUGCAUUCUGGAUUCAUGGGUACACUCUUGGUGUACAAGAGUGAUAAAGUUAAAAUGAAGAUCGUAGACAUCCUUUAUAUGUGCACUACUGUUUUCAACACUAUGUACACUGUAGACUUGGAUUAUACUGUUGGGGUAAUAUGUGUGCAUGAAGCAGAGGAUCAGGUAAACUCUCUUUUUGUUAUGCUUAUGAAUUUUUGGCGCUCAAGUAUCAUUAUAUAAAAUCCCAAUUACAUUAAGAAAUGGUACUUGCUGUCUUAGCUCAAGUGGAAGAGCACAUGGUUCUCCAUGUGGUUGUGGGUUCGACUCCGGCAGAUGGCAUUUUUAUUUAACUAGGCUAAAAAUUACAUGCUUCCAUUGGAAAUAUUAGCUAUGCGUGAUUUUAAAAGUGUCGUAUAUCAUCUUGGUCAUGAUUUGUGGAUCCAAUUAGAUAUAGAAAAAUGAACAUAUCUCUUAUCCAGAAUCUGAAUUCCAAGAAGUUGGAAAGAAGUUAACUGAAGGACUGUGGGAAGAAGUCUUAGAAGCUUCCAAAAAGUGGAGAAUUCCAUGGGUGUUGUCUUGGGUGACCCAUCUAGGACACUCCUCUUUUUUGGUUCUGGCACAUGAUAUGCGUAAAUACAAUAAAUUUUCUUUGUUAAGUAGUUAUGUUGGUUGAGUAGAUUUUCAUACAUAGGAUGAUGAACACCAAGGAUAGGGUCUUAACUAUGAAGUUGUUCAUGGUUAUGGUUGGCACGUUAACAAACAUUAGUAAAAAGGUUUUCGAGGUAGAGGCCUCCAAUGUUCAACGAAUAUUAUCUAAUUCUUUACUCCGGUUUUCGAGCUCAUGAACAGGGAAAUGUUUCUAUUUAAUUUUA
Papaver somniferum (opium poppy) is the source of this 2244-nucleotide long non-coding RNA. RefSeq lists it as uncharacterized. The transcript has 9 exons. The record is from RefSeq and is a predicted model, not a curated record. NCBI's taxonomy places the organism in Eukaryota, Viridiplantae, Streptophyta, Magnoliopsida, Ranunculales, Papaveraceae.